RNAcentral lists this small nuclear RNA (23 nucleotides) under Arabidopsis thaliana (thale cress). RNAcentral's name for it is "snRNA_06475". The record is from RNAcentral. Lineage: Eukaryota; Viridiplantae; Streptophyta; Magnoliopsida; Brassicales; Brassicaceae.
CUGGUAACAAUCACAUGCGAUUU